Molecule: ribosomal RNA, 292 nt
Filed under: uncultured bacterium
Lineage: Bacteria
Description: partial 16S ribosomal RNA
Rfam family: Bacterial small subunit ribosomal RNA
Source: RNAcentral
GUGCCAGCCGCCGCGGUAAUACGGAGGGUGCGAGCGUUGUCCGGAUUUAUUGGGUUUAAAGGGUGCGUAGGCGGCCCUGCAAGCCGGCGGUGAAAUCCACGCGCUCAACGCGUGUCGUGCCGUCGGAACUGCAGGGCUCGAGUCCCGGAGGGGAAGGCGGAAUUUGUGGUGUAGCGGUGAAAUGCAUAGAUACCACAAGGAACCCCGGAGGCGAAGGCGGCCUUCUGGCCGGCGACUGACGCUGAUGCACGAAAGCGCGGGUAGCGAACGGGAUUAGAAACCCUUGUAGUCC